Molecule: long non-coding RNA, 142 nt
Organism: Arachis duranensis
Lineage: Eukaryota; Viridiplantae; Streptophyta; Magnoliopsida; Fabales; Fabaceae
Exons: 3
Source: RefSeq, a predicted model, not a curated record
UUUGUUCAAUUUCUGUUAGCACAACUACCACCACAAGCAAAGAGAGGUUUGGGCUCAAGAGAAAAACAGGGACAAGUCUUGUGUAUUUGAUCAACAAAGAGAGGAAACAUGAAUUCAGAGGAAGCUGCACAAAUUCCUAGAA